This is a long non-coding RNA of Salvia miltiorrhiza (redroot sage), 564 nucleotides long. RefSeq lists it as uncharacterized. The transcript is spliced from 3 exons. Lineage: Eukaryota; Viridiplantae; Streptophyta; Magnoliopsida; Lamiales; Lamiaceae. The record is from RefSeq and is a predicted model, not a curated record.
CUCUCUCCCACAUCUCUCACUUUCCUCCAUUUUCCUCCAUUGAAGAGACCUUCGGAGCUUCCAAAAAUUUCACCAAACACCUCAAUCCACUCUUAAUUCACACAUAAACACAUCCUAGCUACUUGAAUUCAAGAGAAUCAUUGAAGAAGGGCUUCAAAGCUAGAGUGAGAAAGUGUGAAUCUUGGUAAGAAAUUUGGGUCCGGACGACAGGAAGUGAAGCCGAAGAAGAAGCGACUCCACGCUAGCUUAAGAACGUUUGAGGUUGAGCAGCUGAUGGAAUGGAAUGGUGUUGAGCGGGUGUUCCUUUGACAUUUCAAGAAAUGUAACCUUGAGUAUACAUCUUCAUAUGUAUAUCUCACACGUUUUCCGCUGCAAACACUUUGAUUAGGAUAGUUCUAUGUUAUGAAGUUGUGACACGUGUUAUUGGGUAACCCACCUUAAUCAGUUUUCCUUUAUGUGUAUGUUUUAUAAGUAUCCAAAUAAUCAUAUAUGGUCCUAGCAUUUUAUCUAUGAGUGACAUUUCCAUAUACUUUAAUGUUAAGUAAUUGUCCAUUUCCGUUCCCA